AUCAGCUAUUACUCCAAACCCUCAGUGAAAAAGAUUAAAUGUUCAAAUAAAAUCGACAUAAGACUGGAUGGAUAUAAAUGUGCCGGAGCUGUGCAGUACUCCACAGAUGGAGGGCAACAAUGGUCAGGAUACUUAUGUGCUGACAAAUGGGAAAAAGAGGAAGCAGAUUUUCUGUGUAAAAGCCAGGGGUGCGGUAAAUCCAAGGAGCUGCAAAUGCACGACUGGAUGAUUUGGGACGGAUUCAACUCAAACGCUAAGAAGAAGAUCAACUGUUCAGACAUCUCACCCCUAGAUAAUCUGUGGCAGUGCAUCACCAAGGAAUCCAAUUCUAAGUGCGAAAACCCUGUUUCUGUCGUAUGCAAUGGUUAUAACAGGCUGCAGCUCAGAGGAAACGCAUCAAAUGUCUGUUCUGGGCGGCUGGAGAAAGAGAAAAACGGCAAGUGGAAUCCAGUUAAAUACAAUGGAAGCACUGAUGAUCAGUGGUGCCGGCAGCUGCACUG
Seriola dumerili (greater amberjack) is the source of this 500-nucleotide long non-coding RNA. RefSeq lists it as uncharacterized. Lineage: Eukaryota; Metazoa; Chordata; Actinopteri; Carangiformes; Carangidae. The record is from RefSeq and is a predicted model, not a curated record. The transcript has 4 exons.